UCAUGGCUCAGAUAGAGUUUGAUCAUGGCUCAGGAUGAACGCUAGCGGCGGGCUUAACACAUGCAAGUCGAGGGGCAGCGUAAAAUAAGUUUUCUUAUUCUACGGCGACCGGCGAACGGGUGCGUAACACGUACGCAAUCUACCUUUUGCUGGGGCAUAGCUCGGAGAAAUUCGAAUUAAUACCCCAUAAUAUAAAGUAUUCGCAUGAGUAUUUUAUUAAAGUUUUUUACGGCAAAAGAUGAGCGUGCGCCUGAUUAGUUAGUUGGUGAGGUAACGGCUCACCAAGACUACGAUCGGUAGGGGGCCUGAGAGGGUGAUCCCCCACACUGGUACUGAGACACGGACCAGACUCCUACGGGAGGCAGCAGUGAGGAAUAUUGGUCAAUGGAGGAAACUCUGAACCAGCUACGCCGCGUGCAGGAUGAAGGCCUUAUGGGUUGUAAACUGCUUUUGUAUGAAAAUAAAAAUUUCUACGUGUAGAAAUUUGAAGGUAUCAUACGAAUAAGUGUCGGCUAACUCCGUGCCAGCAGCCGCGGUAAUACGGAGGACACUAGCGUUAUCCGGAUUUAUUGGGUUUAAAGGGUGCGUAGGCGGUUUGUUAAGUCAGUAGUGAAAUCUUGCAGCUUAACUGCAAAAUUGCUGUUGAUACUGGCAGACUUGAGUAAGAUUGGAGCAGCUGGAAUGUGUGGUGUAGCGGUGAAAUGCAUAGAUAUCACACAGAACACCGAUCGCGAAGGCAGGUUGCUAAAUCUUCACUGACGCUGAGGCACGAAAGCGUGGGGAGCAAACAGGAUUAGAUACCCUGUAGUCCACGCUGUAAACGAUGAUCACUAACUAUUGGAUAUUAUUUUCAGUGGCCAAGCGAAAGUGAUAAGUGAUCCACCUGGGGAGUACGACCGCAAGAUUGAAACUCAAAGGAAUUGACGGGGGUCCGCACAAGCGGUGGAGCACGUGGUUUAAUUCGAUGAUACGCGAGGAACCUUACCAAGGCUUAAAUGCAUCACGAAUAAGCUGGAAACAGCUUAGUCUUCGGACGGGGUGCAAGGUGCUGCAUGGUUGUCGUCAGCUCGGGCC
Molecule: ribosomal RNA, 1074 nt
Filed under: Bacteroidetes bacterium endosymbiont of Cryptococcus fagisuga
Lineage: Bacteria; Pseudomonadati; Bacteroidota
Description: bacterial SSU rRNA
Rfam family: Bacterial small subunit ribosomal RNA
Source: RNAcentral